Molecule: ribosomal RNA, 2914 nt
Filed under: bacterium
Lineage: Bacteria
Description: 23S ribosomal RNA
Rfam family: Bacterial large subunit ribosomal RNA
Source: RNAcentral
GAUCAAGCUACUAAGGGCGUUAGGUGGAUGCCUUGGCACAAGAAGGCGAUGAAGGACGUGGUAAGCUGCGAUAAGCGUCGGAGAGGAGCAAACAUCCGUAGACCCGGCGAUGUCCGAAUUGGGAAACCAGAUCAGGGUCAUGCCUGAUCGCAAAUGCGACAACCCAGGGAACUGAAACAUCUAAGUACCUGGUGGAAAAUAAAUCAACCGAGAUUUCCAGAGUAGCGGCGAGCGAAAUGGAAAGAGCCUAAACCCGCGUUGUGUGAAAGCGUUGCAGCGUUGCAGCGUGGGGGUCAUGGGGCUAGACAGGGUCGUGCAACCGAUCCGAAAGAGUUACAAAACUUAUACAUAGUCGAACCGUCUGGGAAGUCGGAGCGCAGAGGGUGAAACUCCCGUAGGCGAAAUGUAUAAGUCUCUUGUCAUAGUUCCCGAGUAGGGCGGGGCACGUGAAACCCUGCUUGAAGUUGGGUGGACCAUCAUCCAAGGCUAAAUACUCUCUUGUGACCGAUAGUGAACCAGUACCGUGAGGGAAAGGUGAAAAGCACCCCGGGAGGGGAGUGAAAUAGUACCUGAAACCUAACGCUUACAAGCUGUAGGAGCUCCGCAAGGAGUGACUGCGUACCUUUUGCAUAAUGGUCUGGCGAGUUACUCGUCACUGGCAAGGUUAAGUGUCUAAGACACGGAGCCGCAGCGAAAGCGAGUCUGAAUAGGGCGAAUAGUCAGUGGCGGUAGACGCGAAGCCGGGUGAGCUACGCAUGGCCAGGAUGAAGUCAGGGUAACACCUGAUGGAGGUCCGAACUAAUUGGGGUUGAAAACCCACUGGAUGAGCUGUGCGUAGGGGUGAAAGGCCAAACAAACUCGGAGAUAGCUCGUACUCCCCGAAAUAUAUUGAGGUAUAGCCUCAGGGCGUGAGUGCUGGAGGUAGAGCACUGGAAAGGUUAGGGCCGUCACCACGGUACCGUCCCUUACCAAACUCCGAAUGCCAGCCACUUGGACCCUGGGAGUCAGCCUACGUGGGAUAAGCUGUGUGGACGAGAGGGGAAGAACCCAGACCGCCAUUUAAGGCCCCAAAGUGAUACCUAAGUGAUUAAAGAGGUGGGUCCGCAAAAACAACCAGGAUGUUGGCUUAGAGGCAGCCACCAUUUAAAGAGUGCGUAAUAGCUCACUGGUCGAGUAGAUCUGCGCUGAAAAUCCACGGGACUCAAGGUAUCCGCCGAAAGUGCGGGAAACAAUUUAUUGUUUCGGUAGGGGAGCAUUCCAGUUGCCAACGAAGCGGUAGCGUGAGCAGCCGUGGAGGUCCUGGAAGAGAUUAUGCCAGAAUGAGUAGUGAGAAAACAGGUGAGAAACCUGUUCACCGUAAGCCCAAGGGUUCCUGGGUAAAGUUAAUCUUCCCAGGGUUAGUCGGUCCCUAAGUCGCCGCCGAAUGGCAUAGACGAUGGGAACCAUGUUAAUAUUCAUGGACCGCCGAAAGUUCGUUUGUACGAUGGGGUGACGCAGAAGUGAAAGGACAGCCGGGUGCUGGAAAUCCCGGUUCAAGGUCGUAGGCUGGUCAGUAGGCAAAUCCGCUGACUAAGGCCGAAAGCCGAAUACGAGAGCUUAGCUCAUAAAGUGUCCCUAAUCAUGCUGCCUGGAAAAACCUCUAAGGAGAGCUAAGGCGACCGUACCCGAAACCGACUCAGGUGGGCGAGGAGAGUAUCCUAAGGUGCUCGAGAGAACCAAGGUAAAGGAACUCGGCCAACUAACUCCGUAACUUCGGAAGAAGGAGUGCCCGCGCAAGCGGGUCGCAGUGAAGAGGCCCAGGCGACUGUUUACCAAAAACACAGGGCUCUGCGAAGUCGUAAGACGACGUAUAGGGCCUGACACCUGCCCGGUGCUGGAAGGUUAAGGGGAUCUGUCAUGACGCAAGUCGGCAGCAGUGAACCGAAGCCCCAGUAAACGGCGGCCGUAACUAUAACGGUCCUAAGGUAGCGAAAUUCCUUGUCGGGUAAGUUCCGACCUGCACGAAUGGUGUAACGAUCUGGGCGCUGUCUCUACCUUGGACUCGACGAAAUUGCAAUCUCAGUGAAGAUACUGGGUUCCCGCGGCAGGACGGAAAGACCCCGUGGACCUUUACUAUACCCUGACACUGACAUUUAGCUUUUGAUGUGUAGGAUAGGUGGGAGGCUUUGAAGCUGGCGCGCUAGCGUCGGUGGAGCCAACGUUGAAAUACCACCCUUUAACUGUUGAAUGUCUAACCUAGGCAACGCCAGAGACACUGUCAGGCGGGUAGUUUGACUGGGGCGGUCGCCUCCCAAAAUGUAACGGAGGCGCCCAAAGGUUCCCUCAGCACGGUCGGCAAUCGUGCAUAGAGUGCAAAGGCAUAAGGGAGCUUGACUGCAAGACAAACAAGUCAAGCAGGUAGGAAACUAGGGCUUAGUGAUCCGGCGGUAGUGAAUGGAAAUGCCGUCGCUCAUCGGACAAAAGGUACCCCGGGGAUAACAGGCUUAUCGCCGCCAAGAGUUCACAUCGACGCGGCGGUUUGGCACCUCGAUGUCGGCCCGUCACAUCCUGGGGCUGGAGAAGGUCCCAAGGGUUUGGCUGUUCGCCAAUUAAAGUGGCACGCGAGCUGGGUUCAGAACGUCGUGAGACAGUUCGGUCCCUAUCCGCCGUGGGCGUAGGAAUCUUGAGGAGUGCUGUGCUUAGUACGAGAGGACCGGCAUGGACGAACCUCUGGUGUACCAGUUGUGGCGCCAGCUGCAGCGCUGGGUAGCUAGGUUCGGAUCGGAUAAACGCUGAAAGCAUCUAAGUGUGAAACCGACUCCAAGAUUAGGAUUCCCUGAAGACCCCUUGAAGAUGACAAGGUUGAUAGGCUACAGGUGUAAGUGUGGUAACACAUUCAGCCGAGUAGUACUAAUAGGUCGUUCGGCUUGAUCAA